UUUCACCGUGAGCGCGUCAACGGAGAGGAGGGGCGGGGCAAAGAAAAGAGGAAGAACGGCCUACGUCACCGUUUCAAACCCCGCCCUCUUCUCUCUCUCUCUCCCCCCCUUCCCGUUCGCAUUGAGACCAAAGGGAAAGGCAGACGUGUACGGGGGGAGAGAGAGGGAGGGCGGAGGGACACACUGCGCAGGCGCCGCCUCAUAGUGAACAGUCACUGCCGACGUCACUUGCCAUUCUGGCUCAUUUCCCGCCUCCACCCGCGGCGCUUUCCUUUUCCACUCUCCACCCCUUCCCUCUUCAAAAUCCCACAAAGGGAGGGGAGAAGGGAGCGUAGGGCGCGCGUAUACAUUAAUUAAUACAGGAGUGUAUUUUGACUGUGUUGUCGAAGGCUUUCAUAGCCGGAAUCAUUGAGUUGCUGUGAGUUUUCCGGGUUGUGUGGCCAUGUUCCAGAAGCAUUCUCUCCUGACGUUUCGCCAACAUCUAUGGCAGGAAUCCUCAGAGGUUGUGAGGUCUGUUGGAAACUAAGCAAGGGAUGUUCAUAUAUCUGCGGAAUCUCCAGGAUGGGAGAAAGAAAUCUUGUCUCUGUGAAUGUUGCAAUUAAUCACCUUAAUUAGCAUUGAAAAGCCUUGCAGUUUUAAGGUCUGGUUGAUUCCUGCCUGGGGGGAAUCCUUUGUUGGGAGAUAUUAGCUGGCCCUGAUUGUUUCCUGUCUGGAAUUCUUUUUUUCAGAUUGUUCUUUAUUUACUGUGCUGAUUCUAGAGAUUUUUUUAAAAUAAAUAAAUAAAUAAAUACUGGUAGCCAGAUUUUGUUUAUUUUCAUGGUUUCCUCCUUUCUGUUGAAAUUGUCCACAUGCUUGUGGAUUUCAAUGGCUUCUCUUCUCCAACAGACAAGAGUUCUUUCUCCCACUCUGGACCUUCCACAGAUAUAUAAACCUCCCUUGCUUAAUUUUCCAAUAUACCUCACAACUUCAGAGGAUGCCUGCCAUAGAUGUGGGCAAAGCAUCAGGAGAGAAUGCUUUUGGAAUAUGGCCAUACAGUCCAGAAAACUCACAGCAACCCUAUUUUGACUGUGUUUCUUAGUGAGUUUCAUUCUGGGGAGAACCAAGUGGAAUAGCGAAGGUAAGAAGAGCCACUCAAUUCAAAUAGUCCAUUGGUUACAGCACUUGCGUUACAGUGCUGUUGACAAUCUCCUCCCUCCCUUUUCCCCUGACUUACCAAAGGACAGGUUGAGUGUAUCCCUUAUGGGAAAUGCUUGAGACUAGAACUGUUCUGGGUUUUGGUUGAGCUUGGGUUUUGGACUUAUUUGCAUAUACUGGAAGCAAUGCCUGUAUGCCAUUUUUCUCCUGAAACUGCUACUCCCAGUGUGAAACUCUUACACCACCACUAUAGAAUCAUUCUUCCUUCAGGCCUGACAUAAUUUCUGGGUGUUGCAUAAUGUGGAGCAGGAACAGAGAAGUCAUGGGGUUCAUCCCCAAAGAAAGUCAUAGAGGAAGAGAGUUGGAAGAAGGUGGUGAAACCAGUGUUGAAGACCCAUUGAAAGGGACAUCAAUAGCCGUCACCAAUGAAAACCAGAAUGGGGUGGAGUACAUCAUUCUCGCUGAGAGACUGCUGAAGAACUGGGCUGCGGUCAAAGAGUGAUUGAGCAAAUUGUCUUCAAGAUUGGAAUAUGUGUGCCAAUGUUUGAGACACCCAAGUGUUGCAAGGAAUAAGUGUGUGGGCCCUGAACUUCCUGCUUACGUGAACAUGUUGUGCUUCUGAGAUAUAAACAAGGAUAAACCAGUUGGCUCUUUCACUCAACCAGUUGGCUCUUUCGCAGAAGGAGGCGGCUUACAUUCUGGAAGUGAUAAGAGGCAUGUUUUCCCCGGAGGCAGUUUCCCCUGUGAUCCAGGGCUUUCUGAACUCUCUGUGGCUUUUGAUUUGCAUAUAUGAAGAACGGUAUUAAUCCAAGAAGGCUGGAAGAAGUUGAUAGGAAGCAAAAAAUUGCCAUGGCUAAUUAGACACUUGCCUCCGUUUUAUCUGAUAAAUGGCCAUGUAAACAAGAGGAUGGCCAUUGUUUGGGGUGUGCAAAGAGGCAGUUAAUCAUCCUGGGAACAUUGUAAGGAAGACCAGAAUAUAAAUCAACAAACAAAUGAGCAAACAAAUCAAUGAAUGAAUGAAGGAAGGAACAACUACAACAAUGCAUUAUUUGAAGAGCUGGUGCGGCACAAGUCAAGUUGAAAUGUAAAUACCCAUGAGCAGAAACAGCAGGAAGAAGCUUUGGCAUUGCCCAUUCACAGUUAGCACCAGGAUGGCAGAUUCAGUGGAUGCAAAGGUCACCUGCUCAGUCUUUCCUACUAUGAUGAAAUGUACUAUAUCUAUUUAAAUGAUAAUAUUUCUUUCCAGGAGGGCCAGUGUAGUGUAGUGGUUUGAAUGUUGGACUAAGACUCUGGUCAGCUUAUAUUAAACAUUUAUAUCUUGCUUAUUUCUCCCCUUUUCUGCUCUCUUUCCUUCCCUUUAUUUGUAAUUAUACUUUAGAAAUCCCAUAAAAAAGUUCAUAUCCUGACUGGAGACUCCCCACAGAGUUAAGUGGCUCUUUUUUUAAACUAGUCUUUGCAGCUGUGCUUUUAUUAGUAGCGUGGUGACAUUAGCAGGUGAUACAGUUGAUCUCUGUGAUGUGAAAAGUUGCAAUUGCCAAUUAUUGCAGAGCAUGCAGUGAUUGAAGGCAAAGGCUAGGAACUUUUUUCCUCCUAGUCGUAUGGUGGUUUGAAUGUUAGACUAGGAUGCUAGUUCGAAUGCCCGCUCGGCCAUGGAUUUGAAACCCACUGGUGACCUUGGGCAAGUCACACUUUCAACCUAAGAAGACACAGACAACAUCCCUCUGAACAAAUUCUGGCAAGAAAAUCCAAGAAUAGGGUUGCCUCCAGGACAUCAUAAAUUAGAAAUGGCUUGAUGGUACUCAACAACAAAACAUUCUUUCACUGAGGUUGAUGGAAUGCCUCCAAAAACACCUCCCUCCCUCCCUCCCUCCCUCCUUCCUUCCUUCCUUUAAAAAAAAUCUUAUUUAUGGAUUGGUUUUAACAGAAAGUGUAAUUCACAAUUAAGGUUAAGAGAAAACAAAGACAAAAAACAAGAGUGAAAAGAAAAAUCUAUUCACAUAUAAAAAUAAACAUGUAUAUAAAACAAAGACUGAAUCUGAACUAAAGCUAAAACACAACACCAAACCACAAAACUAAAAGAAUAAACACUAAAUAAAACACCAACACAAAAAUUUUUGACCCCCCCCCCCGCUCUAUCUAAAUUGUAAUGAAAAACAUGAAAUUCACGGGGGAAUAUUAUUUUACCAAAAGAGCUCCAACUAAAAAGCAUAAUAUAAUUACUAAUAACUAUAAUCAAAAUUAUAUCAUUAGAUUUUGUAUGGCUCAAAAAGCACAUAAACUGCUUCCAGUCUUUUAGAAAAUCUUCAGUUGGUUUAUCCUUUAUAGCCCAUGUUAGUUUGGAUUAACUUGGCAACCUUAGCAAUCUAUUCUUUUGUUGUCAGUAUCUUGGACUGUUUCCAGCUUUGAGCCAACAGUGAUCUUGCUGCUGUUAUCACAUAUUGAAUCCAAAGGCACAUUUCUGAAAGGCAAUUGUCUGUCAUUUUUUUGGGUUUAGUUCAGCUAAAAAUGAAUCGAAAGAGAGGCCUGGCUUAUACAGCUUCCCAUAUUAUUGAAGCAGCAGCUUGUUGGCAAGCUGAGGACAAGAGUUUCAUUUCUCCUGUCCUGGCCCUCUGGUUGCCAAAUACAUUUUGCACAGUUUGCCAGAUACGGCAACAAAAGUCAUAAACACAUCAAUUGGUAUAAAUAAAAGAGGACUGUUAAGAUCAUAUUUUAAUGUGUGAUGUUUUGUUGUUGUUUGUAAAGCACAACAUGAUCUGAAAAUAAAUUGAGAACAAUUGAGAACAAAGAUCCCUACUUUCUUCACUGAGCCAGAGAAGCAGUUAGCUCAGUGGGCAGUGCAGUUACCAGAUCUGAGCCAACACCAGUUUGUGACAAAAGAGAUUGUUGAAACCUUCUGGCAGGGAAAUGAAAAGGGGUGACAUGAGAUGAAGCGAUUGUGCUUCAGGACUGGGUUGGUCUAGAAAGAAAAAGAGUGUCCAAAGCAGCAGAGGGUUUGGGGUUUAUUUUUAAAAAGCAUGUCUUUAAUAGCUAAAAUUAAAGGAAGGCUUAUGAAUACAGUGAGAAGUGAAUCUAAUAUAUUGGGCUAAGAAAAACAUGAUUAUUUAAUUUGCCAUGCUCUUCACACUGCUUUAAGAAAUGAGAUUUUUUUGGGGUGGGGGCAGUAUUUAUUUGAGCUCUUUUUGAAGAAGGCAGUUUAUAAUAUUACAAUGUUUAUCAACAACAACAGCAACAACAACAGCCAGAAUUCUAUAUGGAAUUGCAUUAUGUAUGCAAACUAAGCAAAUUUAACUUUGGUUAGUACUUGGAUGGGAGACUGCCAAUGCGUUCUGGGUGUGCCCAGCUAUAUUUCAAAGGAAGGAACAGGCAAAACCUCUGAAUAUUCCUUGCCUAAGUAAGCCCUUUGAAAUUAAUGGGGUCACCAUAGGUCAACAGGGAACUUGAAGGUACAUACACACACCCAGAAGCACCACAGUGAAGGUGCUACAUUCUGAAUCCUGCUCAGUUGUGCCAAUCCACACUUAACAGGAAUUAGCUAGCUACUGAAACUUAUGGGGACUUGUUUCCCUGUUGUCCACAGAGCAGGUGAUUGAUGAUUCCACCCCCAAUGUGAACAAUUUCCAGUGUGACAAGCAUAAGUGGGGUCCUUAUCACAAUUCCUACUUAUGUGAGCAGAAUGGGGACUUCAGUCAGUUGCUUCCUGAUCAAGAGGAGAACAGAUCCUUAUUGACAGCUGCAGCUGCUACCCAGUAAACAGAGCCGGCCCUAGGUAUUUUUCAAGUGUAGGCGAACAGAAUUUUGGUGCACCCCCCCCAAACAAUCACUGAAAAAUAAAAGCGUUGGAUAAGCAAAAAUGUUGGAUAAUGAAGGAUUAAGGAAAAGCCUAUUAAACAUCAAAUUACAUUAAGAUUUUACAAAUUAAACACCAAAACAUCAUGUUUUACAACAAAUCAACAGAAAAAGCAGUCUCGACUGCGCCCCCGUAUGUUUGGUGCCCGAAGUGACCACUUAAUUCGCCUCAUUGUUGGACUGGCUCUGCCAGUAAAUAGGAGAUUUAGUGAUCCUACAAUAGGCAUUAGGCAAGGAUCAUGAAUAUGUAACAUUCACAAGUGCAUAACUCUAGGUAGCACAUCCGUAAUCGUAAUAGAGGGUUCUGGCCAACAACCACAACUGUAUUAUUACAAAACAAAGCUUUUGCGAUAUUUGAGUUAAUUUACAAGCAUUCAGACUGAGCAGAGUUGGAAGGCACACCAUAUAAAUUCCAAAAGAAAACUAUGUUUAAUGUCCCAUAGUGGACUUUCAGAGAAACAAUUACUCCCUCACAGCCCCAUUCUGGGAGAAAGGCAGUGUGUACAUCUAAUAAAAUAAAAUAAGCAAUUACAGUUUCUAGAAGAAUAAUGGGAAAGUCUUGGUUCUCCAGAUGGUUGGAUGAUAUGAUAAUAUGAUAGGUAAAGGUAAAAGUUUCCCCUGAAGUCUAGUUGUGUCCGACUCUGGUGGGUGGUGGCCAUUUCCAUUUCUAAGCCAAAGAGCCAGCGUUGUCCGUAGAUGCCUCCAAGGUCAUGUAGUUGGCAUGCCUGCAUGGAGCGCUGUUACCUUCCCACCAAGGCGGUGCUGACUGAUCCACUCACAUUUGCAUAUUUUCGAACUGCUAGGUUGGCAGAAACUGGGGCCAACAGCGGGAGCUCACCCUGCUCCCUGGAUUCGAACCAAUAUCCUUUCGGUCAGCAAGUUCAGCAGCUCAGCGGUUUAACCUGCUCCACCAGUGGGGGGGGGCGGGCUGAUAAUAUGAUAAUUGUAUAUUAUAUAUUACAUAUAAUAUUACUAAUAAUAUUGCAAUAUAAUGUGCUAUUAUUUUUGAAGUAGAUGUGGAUUUGUCUUUGGGAUUUGGGGGUUGGUUAUUUCUGUCUUUGUUCAGCCUGGCAAUGAAUGUUUGCCAAUAUCUGCUGUAAACCACCCAGAGUCCCCUUGGGGAGCUAGGGCGGGAUAUAAAUAAAGUUGUUGUUGUUGUUGUUGU
Anolis carolinensis (green anole) is the source of this 6145-nucleotide long non-coding RNA. RefSeq lists it as uncharacterized. NCBI's taxonomy places the organism in Eukaryota, Metazoa, Chordata, Lepidosauria, Squamata, Anolidae. The transcript is spliced from 4 exons. The record is from RefSeq and is a predicted model, not a curated record.